Molecule: ribosomal RNA, 1290 nt
Filed under: Escherichia coli
Lineage: Bacteria; Pseudomonadati; Pseudomonadota; Gammaproteobacteria; Enterobacterales; Enterobacteriaceae
Description: partial 23S ribosomal RNA
Rfam family: Bacterial large subunit ribosomal RNA
Source: RNAcentral
CACAUGCUGUGAGCUCGAUGAGUAGGGCGGGACACGUGGUAUCCUGUCUGAAUAUGGGGGGACCAUCCUCCAAGGCUAAAUACUCCUGACUGACCGAUAGUGAACCAGUACCGUGAGGGAAAGGCGAAAAGAACCCCGGCGAGGGGAGUGAAAAAGAACCUGAAACCGUGUACGUACAAGCAGUGGGAGCACAGAGCAAUCUGUGUGACUGCGUACCUUUUGUAUAAUGGGUCAGCGACUUAUAUUCUGUAGCAAGGUUAACCGAAUAGGGGAGCCGAAGGGAAACCGAGUCUUAACUGGGCGUUAAGUUGCAGGGUAUAGACCCGAAACCCGGUGAUCUAGCCAUGGGCAGGUUGAAGGUUGGGUAACACUAACUGGAGGACCGAACCGACUAAUGUUGAAAAAUUAGCGGAUGACUUGUGGCUGGGGGUGAAAGGCCAAUCAAACCGGGAGAUAGCUGGUUCUCCCCGAAAGCUAUUUAGGUAGCGCCUCGUGAAUUCAUCUCCGGGGGUAGAGCACUGUUUCGGCAAGGGGGUCAUCCCGACUUACCAACCCGAUGCAAACUGCGAAUACCGGAGAAUGUUAUCACGGGAGACACACGGCGGGUGCUAACGUCCGUCGUGAAGAGGGAAACAACCCAGACCGCCAGCUAAGGUCCCAAAGUCAUGGUUAAGUGGGAAACGAUGUGGGAAGGCCCAGACAGCCAGGAUGUUGGCUUAGAAGCAGCCAUCAUUUAAAGAAAGCGUAAUAGCUCACUGGUCGAGUCGGCCUGCGCGGAAGAUGUAACGGGGCUAAACCAUGCACCGAAGCUGCGGCAGCGACACUAUGUGUUGUUGGGUAGGGGAGCGUUCUGUAAGCCUGUGAAGGUGUGCUGUGAGGCAUGCUGGAGGUAUCAGAAGUGCGAAUGCUGACAUAAGUAACGAUAAAGCGGGUGAAAAGCCCGCUCGCCGGAAGACCAAGGGUUCCUGUCCAACGUUAAUCGGGGCAGGGUGAGUCGACCCCUAAGGCGAGGCCGAAAGGCGUAGUCGAUGGGAAACAGGUUAAUAUUCCUGUACUUGGUGUUACUGCGAAGGGGGGACGGAGAAGGCUAUGUUGGCCGGGCGACGGUUGUCCCGGUUUAAGCGUGUAGGCUGGUUUUCCAGGCAAAUCCGGAAAAUCAAGGCUGAGGCGUGAUGACGAGGCACUACGGUGCUGAAGCAACAAAUGCCCUGCUUCCAGGAAAAGCCUCUAAGCAUCAGGUAACAUCAAAUCGUACCCCAAACCGACACAGGUGGUCAGGUAGAGAAUACC